Molecule: long non-coding RNA, 426 nt
Organism: Magallana angulata
Lineage: Eukaryota; Metazoa; Mollusca; Bivalvia; Ostreida; Ostreidae
Exons: 2
Source: RefSeq, a predicted model, not a curated record
ACGUUAUACGUCCCUGGUAUUGCGCGGUGUUUAAAUUUUCUUUCGGACAUUGAAUCGUGUAUAUUUAAAGGGCCUACUAAGUAACAGUUUUGAGCUAUAUGAUAUGGACUGGACACAAUUGCACAGACAGGCAGAUGGACAAUGUGACUCCUAUAUAUACCCAUCAAGACUUUGCUUGCGUGCGGUAUAUAAUAAAUGGAAGGAAAAGUACUUUCCCUAUAAACUCAUCAAAUUAUACAUAGAAAGGAUAGUGCUGGCCCUAAAGAUGAACACAUCAAAUUAUGACAAUUGGAAUGGACAGUAUCACCUCUGAAUCUGAAUAGAAUGGAGAGUAUUGGUAUUUGAUUUGAUAAGUAGUGUUAUCACCAUAAAAAGACACUGGAAAAUGUAAACAUAACAAACCACAAUAUACCAAUAUGUUCCCAU